AGCACAUUCACCUGACAAGGAGCUGGCCGCAGCCUCCGCUGCCAAACGGUGACGGUGCUGGCUGGUGCCCCCAGGAGCUGUUCACCACCUCCCGGGCUAAUGGCGCUUGCUGCCUGGCACACAGCAGGUGACUACACUGCAUGGCUUAUAAAUGUGGCCUCUGCCAGGAAAUCCUGGGAAAGAGCCAGGGAGGUGACGUUUUAUCCACGAGCCUGCUAUGGCUUAGCCUAGCCCUCCCCUAACUGUGACCAAGCUCUGGAUGAGACACAGACAACUACUGAGGACCUGCAAAGUAAGGAGACUGCAGGGCGGAGGCGGAACUUGGAGGAGUGACCUGCCGUGGAGUUUCUGGUUUCCUCCUUGUGGCUUUGUCUGGAGGGCAAGCCCCACUCUCAGAUCCACAUGGCAACACAAGCAGCUAAAACGCAGAUAGAAACCCCAACCUGGGAAAAGGAGUCCUACAGAAUGGAGACAAAGGAAAGCCAGCGAACGUGAAGACAGAUAAAUAGAAAAUAUCCACUCCGAAGAACGAAGAUAAAGAGGAAAAACAAGAACAAGCAUCACGGGCCAGCUGGGGUCGUAUCGAAAGGCCCAGCACAUACCUGGUUCCAGAAAGCAAGGAGGAGGUUGGGGCAGAAAGUUAUUUGAAGGAAUAUUGGCUGAAACAUCCCAAGUCUGGUGAAAUACAUAAAUGUAAGCAUUCAAGAAGCUCAGUGAACCCCAAAGAAGAUAAACAGAAAGGAAAAUAGACCCAGACAUAGCAUCAUCAAAUUGCUGAAAACUGAAGAAAACAUCUGGAAAGCAGCUAGAGAAAAACAACACAUUUCGUACACAAAAGCAGUGACUCCAGUGACUACAGAAUUCUUGCCAGAAACCACGGCAGCCAGGAGACAGCAGAACGAUGUCUUUAAUGCAUGAAAGGAAAGGUUUCUCCUUGCAAGGUGUUUGUUCAUUUCUUCCAAGUUGUGGAAUAUAUGGGCAGAAGAUUGGACACCAUCCCCCUCGACUCUUUUUUCCCAUCUGUAGGGUCUGCGGUGAUGUCCUUUUUAGCCUCCAUGUUUGUAAUGAGGGUCUCUUUGUUUUGGGGUCAGUCUGGCCAGCAGCUUAUCAAUUGUAUUGAUCUUUUCAAAGAAUCAGCUUGGGUUUCAUUUAUUUUCUCUAUUUUCUGUUUUUGUUUUUUGUUCAGCUGAUUUCCACCCUGAUCUUUAUUACCUUCUACUUUCCGCAUGCGUUUUGUAAUUUAUUUUUCCCUUACUAGUUUCUCCAGGUGAAAGCUCCUAUCAUAGUUGGCAAGGGUUUUCUGUAAAGGGCUAGAGAGUAAAUAUGUUUGGUUUUGUGAGCCACGUGGUGUCUGUUGCAACCACUCAACUGCUGUUGUAGCGUGAAAGCAGCAACAGAAAACACAUAAAAUACCAAGUUGUUCUCCAGCAUAACUUUAUUUUCAACAGCAAGAAGGGGCCAGACAUGGCCGGUGGGCUGUAGCUUGCUGGCUCUUGGCUUAGAGUGAUUUGUGAUCUCUUCCUUUUUUAUCGUUUCAGCAAUUACUGCUGUAAAAUCUAUCCUAAACACCAGUCAAUCUGCAUCCCACAAAUGUUGAUAUGUUGUUUUAAUUUCCAUUGAAUUCAAAAUAGUGUCUAAUUACCUCUGCAUUAACCCUGUGCUUCUGCGCUUUGACAUCUGGGGUGACCCAGGAGGGGCUCCCCCUCCAAGGGCUUCCCAGCAAGAUCACCCUUCAUAAGCAAAUCAAGGAUUCCAGAGCCCACACCCCAACCGCUCCCCAACUGGGCCACACUCUGGGCCAACGUCCCCCUGCCCUAAUCACCCCAGGGCCAGGAGCUACACCCAGACCAGCUGGCAUUAAUGCAACCAGCCAGUUCUCCACCUGUCCACCCCCUGGCCUGGUCCUUCCCACACCACGUUCCUCGCACCCUCUGCCUCCUGGCCUACCUGGUGCUUGCCCUGUGCCCCUUCACCGUGGUGAUGCGGCCAGCUCUGUCCUCUUGGGACCCGUGACAAAUCAUCUUUUUGAUGGUGGUUGUCUCCUGACCUGUGGGCCUCACCCUACCUGAAUAACAAUGAAAGUUACAUUUUAAAAAUACCAGGUCACCUCCUCUGUUGAUAUGUUGUUUUAAUUAACAACUUCUAAACAACUCAUGAGUUCUUUUGGUUUUUUUGAGAUGGAGUCUUGCUCUGUCAGCCUGGCUGGAGUGCAGUGGCACAAUCUCGGCUCACUGCAACCUCUGCCUCCUGGGUUCAAAUGAUUCUUGUGCCUCAGCCUCCCGAGUAGCUGGGAUUACAGGUGUGGGCCACCAUGACCAGCUAAUUUUUGUAUUUUUAGUAGAGACGGGAUUUCACCAUGUUGGUCAGGCUGGUCUCAAACUCCUAACCUCAAGUGAUCUGCCUGCCUCAGCCUCCCAAAGUGCUGGGAUUACAGGCGUGAGCCACGACGCCGGUCGCUCACGAGUUAUUUAGAAUUGAGUUGCUUAAUGUUUCAGGAUGUUCUGUAUUGGGUUCUCCUUUCAUUCUAAUUCUGGGAUAGUCAAGGAACACAAGUCUCAACAAAUCUUGAGAUUAUUCUUACUUUGUUCUCUGCACGACUUGAGUCUUUUAAGAUCUACUGAGACUUGUGCUGGGACCCAGCGCGGUCGGCCUUGGUCACUGCUCUGCGUGCCCUGGAGAAGCAUGCACCGCUGCUGGGGUGCAGUGUCUGGCACGUGCCAUGGUCCAGCUGGCCCCCGAUGUUCUGUGGGGGCAUUGCUCCCCAGCGUGUCCGGACAGGUUCUUGCUGAGCACCGGAACCCUGAACAUCCAGGGAAUGAGGCGUCAGACACAGUGGGGGAGCUCCAGCCAGCGAGCGCCUGCUCCCGCUCCGGGAAGCGCUCCUGGUCCAUGGCAUCACCGUCCUCAGGCGCAGUCAGGCCUGGGGAUGUUUCCUGCCACCGGAAGUGCCCUGAAGGUGUCCUGGUGGCCGCCGUGUGAAGGGAUGAUGUGACUGUGCACCACAGUCCCCAUUUCAGGAGCACGAUUCACCCCGGGACGCGGUCCUGAGACCGUCCCACUCUUUAGGGGCUGUGGGGGAUGGAGGAGGGGCUCAUGAGAGUCACCCAGACCCACAGUUCACCCUGCAUUUUCCCAGUGGUCCUGGGCAGGCCACACUCUCGGCCUCCAAGAACUCGCACCCCUCCCAUGACAGAGGAGCCUGGGAUCAGGGAGAGGGGAUCGUGUGCUCGGGGGCACCAGCCCCAUGAGAGGACCUGUGUGGGAGGUGUGUGGUCCUGGCACAGGGCCUGGAACUGCCAGGGCAAGGGAGGGGAAGGACACCCAGCACUACUCUGAUGUGCAAACCCUAGAGCUGCCUCGUGGCCACCCCGGGAGGAGAAGGAGGGAGUGUGCAGGGCUGGAAGGGCUGACAGCGCUUUAGACACCGUAACUCCACAUUUGUGUUUUUCAUGCUUGGAGCUUCUGUAGGAAGAUGGAGGUUGGCCAAAGUUUCAGUGACUAAAAGUGUGAAAUUCAUUUAAGUCCAUCAAACUCAAACUUGUGCAGGCACCAGGCAGUCACCCUUGAUGAAGGCAGCUGGCCAGGCAUAAGGGACACAAUCCGCAGAGCCAACGAGACCAGAAAUGAUGCUGGACCACAGAGCGCGUGGACAGUGAGGAGCGGUGAGGCCUGUGCAGAGGGCAGUAGCCAAGCCCAACACAGCUGAGUGCAGCCACGCACAGCCCAGCCACGCCACACCACGCCCAGUCACAUCCAGCCCAACACAGCUGAGUGCAGCCAUGCCCAGUCCAGCCACGCCACACCACACCCAGCCACACCCAGCCCAACAUAGCCAUGACCAACCACACCCAACCCAGCCCAGCCUAGCCACGCCCAGCCCAGCUCAGCCGUGUCCAGCCCAGCCACGCCCAACCCAACACAGCCACGCCCAGCCCUUGGAAGCCACACCCCACUCCCCACACCACACCUGAAUACAGGCCUAGUGUUACCAGAACUUCUAAUUUUCCAACAGAAAUGUGCAAUUGGGGUCAUUAUGUUCAGUUUCCCAGUUUUGAAUAUAGUUUCAACUAUCUUGACCAGCUCUACUGAGGAUUAUUUGACACAAUCAACUGCACAUGUAAAAGUGAUGAUUUGGAAAGCUUCGACCUAUGUGCACACCCACGAAACCCUUCCCAUGGUCCACGGUGAACCUCGUCACCCACAGCAUGUCCUCCUGCCUGUGUCCUCCCACCCCUGUCCCCAGGAACCACCGAUGUCACUACAGACAACUGCAUUUUGCAGAAUUCCAUAUGAACGAAGUCACAUGUAUACACGCCUUCUUUCACGCAGCAUAAUUAUUUUCACGUUUGAUUUUGUCAUGUGUUUCAAAAUUCCACUCCUUUUUAUUUCUGCGUUGUAUGGAUGCACCAUGAUUUGUUCAUCCAAUCACUUGUUGGUAGACAUUUUGGUUUUUCCCCCAGGUUUUUGCUAUCACAAAUAAAACUGCUAUGGACAGUCAUGCAUAA
This 4505-nucleotide long non-coding RNA is filed under the name Homo sapiens (human). RNAcentral describes it as "long independently transcribed non-coding RNA 2970, transcript variant 3 (LINC02970)". The record is from RNAcentral. Lineage: Eukaryota; Metazoa; Chordata; Mammalia; Primates; Hominidae.